This is a non-coding RNA of Habropoda laboriosa, 58 nucleotides long. The record is from Rfam. NCBI's taxonomy places the organism in Eukaryota, Metazoa, Arthropoda, Insecta, Hymenoptera, Apidae.
UGGCGUAGUGCGCAACGCCUCGGCUUGCUAAGCCGAAGGUCCUGGGUUCGAUUCCCGG